This 601-nucleotide ribosomal RNA is filed under the name soil bacterium S65D1. RNAcentral's name for it is "bacterial SSU rRNA". It matches the Rfam family "Bacterial small subunit ribosomal RNA", at positions 55 to 645 of the family's 1533-position model. The record is from RNAcentral.
AUGCAAGUCGAACGGCAGCACAGCAGUAGCAAUACUGUGGGUGGCGAGUGGCGGACGGGUGAGGAAUGCAUCGGAAUCUGCCUAUUUGUGGGGGAUAACGUAGGGAAACUUACGCUAAUACCGCAUACGUCCUACGGGAGAAAGUGGGGGACCGCAAGGCCUCACGCAGAUAGAUGAGCCGAUGCCGGAUUAGCUAGUUGGCGGGGUAAAGGCCCACCAAGGCGACGAUCCGUAGCUGGUCUGAGAGGAUGAUCAGCCACACUGGAACUGAGACACGGUCCAGACUCCUACGGGAGGCAGCAGUGGGGAAUAUUGGACAAUGGGCGCAAGCCUGAUCCAGCCAUGCCGCGUGUGUGAAGAAGGCCUUCGGGUUGUAAAGCACUUUUGUCCGGAAAGAAAAGCGCUCGAUUAAUACUCGGGUGUUAUGACGGUACCGGAAGAAUAAGCACCGGCUAACUUCGUGCCAGCAGCCGCGGUAAUACGAAGGGUGCAAGCGUUACUCGGAAUUACUGGGCGUAAAGCGUGCGUAGGUGGUUUGUUAAGUCUGAUGUGAAAGCCCUGGGCUCAACCUGGGAACUGCAUUGGAUACUGGCUUACUAGA